UACGUAGGGGGCAAGCGUUGUCCGGAUUUAUUGGGCGUAAAGCGCUCGCAGGCGGCCUGGCCAAGUCGUGCGUGAAAUCUCCCGGCUCAACUGGGAGCGGUCGUGCGAUACUGGUCGGCUCGAGGCCGGUAGGGGGGAGUGGAAUUCCGGGUGUAGUGGUGGAAUGCGUAGAUAUCCGGAGGAACACCAGUGGCGAAGGCGGCUCCCUGGACCGGUCCUGACGCUCAGGAGCGAAAGCGUGGGUAGCGAUCCGG
This 254-nucleotide ribosomal RNA is filed under the name uncultured bacterium. RNAcentral describes it as "partial 16S ribosomal RNA". It matches the Rfam family "Bacterial small subunit ribosomal RNA", at positions 524 to 776 of the family's 1533-position model. The record is from RNAcentral.